GCGCCCUUAGCUCAGUUGGUUAGAGCAUCUGACUUUUAAUCAGAGGGUCCUCGGUUCGAGCCCGAGAGGGCGUACCA
This 77-nucleotide transfer RNA is filed under the name Brevundimonas halotolerans. RNAcentral's name for it is "tRNA-Lys". It matches the Rfam family "tRNA". From Rfam's summary of the family: Transfer RNA (tRNA) molecules are approximately 80 nucleotides in length. Their secondary structure includes four short double-helical elements and three loops (D, anti-codon, and T loops). The record is from RNAcentral. RNAcentral also lists the same sequence under 14 other names. Lineage: Bacteria; Pseudomonadati; Pseudomonadota; Alphaproteobacteria; Caulobacterales; Caulobacteraceae.